Molecule: ribosomal RNA, 430 nt
Filed under: uncultured actinomycete
Lineage: Bacteria; Bacillati; Actinomycetota; Actinomycetes; Actinomycetales
Description: bacterial SSU rRNA
Rfam family: Bacterial small subunit ribosomal RNA
Source: RNAcentral
CGGCGGAGCAUGCGGAUUAAUUCGAUGCAACGCGAAGAACCUUACCAAGGCUUGACAUAUACCGGAAAAGUGCAGAAAUGAUCCUCGGAACAGGUGUGACGAGCGCAACCCUCGUUCUAUGUUGCCAGCGGGAUGUCAAAUAUCAUGCCCCUUAUGUCUUGGCUUCAUACAUGGCCGGUACAAGGGCUGCAAUACCGUAAGGUGGAGCGUCCCAAAAAGCCGGUCUCAGUUCGGAUUGAGGUGCAACUCGACCUCAUGAAGUCGGAGUCGCUAGUAAUCGAGAUCAGCAACGCUGCGGUGAAUACGUUCCCGGGCCUUGUACACACCGCCGUCAAGUCAUGAAAGUCGGUAACACCCGAAGCCAGUGGCCUAACCGUAAGGGAGGAGCUGUCGAAGUGGGAUCGGUGAUUAGGACUAAGUCGUACAAGGU